GAUGAACGCUGGCGGCGUGCCUAAUACAUGCAAGUCGAGCGAACAGACGAGGAGCUUGCUCCUCUGACGUUAGCGGCGGACGGGUGAGUAACACGUGGAUAACCUACCUAUAAGACUGGGAUAACUUCGGGAACCCGGAGCUAAUACCGGAUAAUAUAUUGAACCGCAUGGUUCAAUAGUGAAAGACGGUUUUGCUGUUACUUAUAGACGGAUCCGCGCCGCAUUAGCUAGUUGGUAAGGUAACGGCUUACCAAGGCAACGAUGCGUAGCCGACCUGAGAGGGUGAUCGGCCACACUGGAACUGAGACACGGUCCAGACUCCUACGGGAGGCAGCAGUAGGGAAUCUUCCGCAAUGGGCGAAAGCCUGACGGAGCAACGCCGCGUGAGUGAUGAAGGUCUUCGGAUCGUAAAACUCUGUUAUUAGGGAAGAACAAAUGUGUAAGUAACUAUGCACGUCUUGACGGUACCUAAUCAGAAAGCCACGGCUAACUACGUG
RNAcentral lists this ribosomal RNA (497 nucleotides) under uncultured bacterium. RNAcentral describes it as "partial 16S ribosomal RNA". It matches the Rfam family "Bacterial small subunit ribosomal RNA", at positions 28 to 507 of the family's 1533-position model. The record is from RNAcentral.